GAUGAACGCUGGCGGCGUGCCUAAUACAUGCAAGUCGAGCGAACGGACGAGAAGCUUGCUUCUCUGAUGUUAGCGGCGGACGGGUGAGUAACACGUGGAUAACCUACCUAUAAGACUGGGAUAACUUCGGGAAACCGGAGCUAAUACCGGAUGAUAUUUUGAACCGCAUGGUUCAAAAGUGAAGGACGGUCUUGCUGUCACUUAUAGAUGGAUCCGCGCUGCAUUAGCUAGUUGGUAAGGUAACGGCUUACCAAGGCAACGAUGCAUAGCCGACCUGAGAGGGUGAUCGGCCACACUGGAACUGAGACACGGUCCAGACUCCUACGGGAGGCAGCAGUAGGGAAUCUUCCGCAAUGGGCGAAAGCCUGACGGAGCAACGCCGCGUGAGUGAUGAAGGUCUUCGGAUCGUAAAACUCUGCUAUUAGGGAAGAACAUAUGUGUAAGUAACUGUGCACAUCUUGACGGUACCUAAGCAGAAAGCCACGGCUAACUACGU
This 496-nucleotide ribosomal RNA is filed under the name uncultured bacterium. RNAcentral's name for it is "partial 16S ribosomal RNA". It matches the Rfam family "Bacterial small subunit ribosomal RNA", at positions 28 to 506 of the family's 1533-position model. The record is from RNAcentral.